GAUGAACGCUGGCGGCGUGCCUAAUACAUGCAAGUCGAGCGAACGGACGAGAAUCUUGCUUCUCUGAUGUUAGCGGCGGACGGGUGAGUAACACGUGUAUAACCUACCUAUAAUACUGGGAUAACUUCGGGAAACCGUAGCUAAUACCGGAUAAUAUUUUGAACCGCAUUGUUCAAAAGUGAAAGACGGUCUUUCUGUCACUUAUAGAUGGAUCCGCGCUGCAUUAGCUAGUUGGUAAGGUAACGGCUUACCAAGGCAACGAUGCAUAGCCGACCUGAGAGGGUGAUCGGCCACACUGGAACUGAGACACGGACCAGACUCCUACGGGAGGCAGCAGUAGGGAAUCUUCCGCAAUGGGCGAAAGCAUGACGGAGCAACGCCGCGUGAGUGAUGAAGGUCUUCGGAUCGUAAAACUCUGUUAUUAGGGAAGAACAUAUGUGUAAGUAACUGUGCACAUAUUGACGGUAACUAAUCAGAAAGCAACGGCUAACUACGUG
This 497-nucleotide ribosomal RNA is filed under the name uncultured bacterium. RNAcentral describes it as "partial 16S ribosomal RNA". It matches the Rfam family "Bacterial small subunit ribosomal RNA", at positions 28 to 507 of the family's 1533-position model. The record is from RNAcentral.